RNAcentral lists this non-coding RNA (45 nucleotides) under Cinara cedri. It matches the Rfam family "Histone 3' UTR stem-loop". Rfam says of the family: The mRNAs of metazoan histone genes lack a poly-A tail. Lineage: Eukaryota; Metazoa; Arthropoda; Insecta; Hemiptera; Aphididae. The record is from RNAcentral.
AAAACGGCCCUUUUCAGGGCCAACAAUAAAAAAUUGAAGACUUUA